AACGAACGCUGGCGGCAUGCCUAACACAUGCAAGUCGAACGAGACCUUCGGGUCUAGUGGCGCACGGGUGCGUAACGCGUGGGAACCUGCCUUUAGGUUCGGAAUAACUCAGAGAAAUUUGAGCUAAUACCGGAUAAUGUCUUCGGACCAAAGAUUUAUCGCCUUUAGAUGGGCCCGCGUUGGGAUUAGCUAGUUGGUGGGGUAAAGGCCUACCAAGGCGACGAUCCAUAGCUGGUCUGAGAGGAUGAUCAGCCACACUGGGACUGAGACACGGCCCAGACUCCUACGGGAGCAGCAGUGGGGAAUAUUGGACAAUGGGCGAAAGCCUGAUCCAGCAAUGCCGCGUGAGUGAUGAAGCCUUAGGUGUAAAGCUCUUUUACCCGAGAUGAUAAUGACAGUAUCGGGAGAAUAAGCUCCGGCUAACUCCGUGCCAGCAGCCGCGGUAAUGUGACUACUG
This 457-nucleotide ribosomal RNA is filed under the name uncultured bacterium. RNAcentral describes it as "bacterial SSU rRNA". It matches the Rfam family "Bacterial small subunit ribosomal RNA", at positions 29 to 534 of the family's 1533-position model. The record is from RNAcentral.